RNAcentral lists this long non-coding RNA (1725 nucleotides) under Homo sapiens (human). RNAcentral's name for it is "HSALNT0397834". Lineage: Eukaryota; Metazoa; Chordata; Mammalia; Primates; Hominidae. The record is from RNAcentral.
AGGAGAAUUGCUUGAACCCGGGAGGCAGAGGUUGCAGUGAGCCGAGAUUGUGCCACUGCACUCCAUCCUGGGUGACAGAGUGAGACUCCAUCUCAAAAAAUAAAGAAAGAAAGAAAAAAAAAGAAAAGAAAAAAACAGUAGAGUGAGCAUCCAGUAGGUGGCUGAAUAAUAGUAAAACUCAGCUGUGUAAACAUACAUCUCUUUGCACAGGAGGCAGUGAACAACAGGAUUGGAAACAUCUCUGUUUAACUGGAUAGCCAUUUAAAGGAUGAGUAGGCAAAACAAGGGCUUUUUCAUUUUAUACAUUUGGUUGAACUACCUUGGAUUUACUUUUGUUCUGAUCUGUAAAGGAAGUAAGGUAGGAAAGAGUGCAUUUAAUCACUGUAAUAAGGUGAGAGAGAUUAGAGCUCCUUUGUAAUUGUUACAAAAAUAUAAAAAUUAAGUGAUUGUCCUGAUAUUCAGCUGUCCUAUACAUGACUUAUCUGUCAUUCAUCAUCAUAAUUUCCUUUAAGACAAUGAUUAAUUUAUUGUACAGUCAGUUGUUUAAUGCCUGCUGUAUGCUAGUGGGUAGUUAUUCACUGUUGAAUGAAAUAAGGAUUACAUCUUCCUUUGGGAAGGUUUAGGGAUCAGAAAAUCAACAAAAGAGCAAAAAGAAAAAUCAGUGGAUAUGCGUUUGAAAAUUGUGAAAUGAAGAAAUGAAACAUGAUGCUGGAAUUGAGAAUAAAGGACAUAGACUGCCUUACAGUCGGUAGGGCAAGCCUUUCUGUGUAAGAGAUAUUUAACCAACCAUUAAGAAUGAGAAGGAGUUGGCCUUUCACAGAGCCCUGGACAGAUUAUUUUUAGGAGAUGAAAAAUCCCAUAGAAAACUAUAUGAAAUGGGAAAUGUUAUGACACAAUCGAGGAGCUGAAUAGAAGCAAGUCAUAAUAAGAGGGAGUAAGGAGGACAAUGUCUUUGAAAGAGGUCUUUAGGUAACCAAAGACCAUAUUAUAUUAUAUGGUAACAUGUUUGGAUUUUAUUCUAAGAGUAAAGAAAAACUGUUAAAAUUGUUAAGUGGAGAUUCUCAAACUUUGAUCUAUAUCAGAAUCAUCUAGUGGAGUUAUUAAAAAUUCAGAUACCAAAUUACUCCUGUAGAUUUGGUUCACUUGACUUGUGUGUAACUAAAUAGCAGUAUUUGUGAUAAAGUUCCCCAGAUGAUUCUCAUACACAAUAAAAUUUUAGAACCACUGACGUAAAUAAACUAUUUGCCAUAUCACCACAAUCUUAUAUAAUCUUUUUUUUUUUUUUGAGACAGAGUUUAGCUCUUGUAGCCCAGGCUGGAGUGCAAUGGCGCAAUCUCAGCUCACUGCAACCUCCGCCUCCCAGGUUCAAGCAAUUCUCCUGCCUCAGCCUCCCUAGUAGCUGGAAUUACAGGAGUGCGCCACCAUACUUGGCUAACUUUUGUAUUUUUAGUAGAGACAGGGUUUCACCAUGUUGGCCAGGCUGGUCUCGAACUCCUGACCUCAAGUGAUCCGCCUGCCUCGGCCUCCCAAAGUGCUGGGAUUACAGGCGUGAGCCACCACAUCCGACCCAAUCUUUCCACUUUUUGGAGCUUUUCACUGGCUAUUAAAUCUCCCAGGAAUCCUGACUUGGGUUUGCAUGGUUGGGUUUCUUUCAUCCAUCAGGUUUCAUUUUAAAAAUCAGAAAAAUGAUCCCUGCUGACUUCAUGUAAUAUAUAUCCUUUGUUU